RNAcentral lists this long non-coding RNA (301 nucleotides) under Zonotrichia albicollis (white-throated sparrow). RNAcentral's name for it is "lncRNA (ENSZALG00000004570.1)". The record is from RNAcentral. Lineage: Eukaryota; Metazoa; Chordata; Aves; Passeriformes; Passerellidae.
CCCCCAGAAAGUGCUGAGGGAGAGCGAGAUCGAUGAGAACUUCAAGCAGCUCUUCAAGCAGCUGGCGGGGCCGGACCUGGAGAUCAGCGUCACCGAGCUGCAGACCAUCCUCAACCGCAUCAUCGCCAAACACAAAGACCUGCGCACCAAGGGCUUCAGCCUGGAGUCCUGCCGGAGCAUGGUGAACCUCAUGGACAAAGACGGGAACGGGAAGCUGGGGCUGGUGGAGUUCAACGUGCUCUGGAACCGCAUCCGCAACUACCUGGUGGGUCUGGGGGCUCCUGGGGGCAUUUUGGGGGUC